AGUGAACGCUGGCGGUAGGCCUAACACAUGUAAGUCGAACGGCAGCACAGUAAGAGCUUGCUCUUACGGGUGGCGAGUGGCGGACGGGUGAGGAAUACAUCGGAAUCUACUUUUUCGUGGGGGAUAACGUAGGGAAACUUACGCUAAUACCGCAUACGACCUACGGGUGAAAGCAGGGGAUCUUCGGACCUUGCGCGAUUGAAUGAGCCGAUGUCGGAUUAGCUAGUUGGCGGGGUAAAGGCCCACCAAGGCGACGAUCCAUAGCUGGUCUGAGAGGAUGAUCAGCCACACUGGAACUGAGACACGGUCCAGACUCCUACGGGAGGCAGCAGUGGGGAAUAUUGGACAAUGGGCGCAAGCCUGAUCCAGCCAUACCGCGUGGGUGAAGAAGGCCUUCGGGUUGUAAAGCCCUUUUGUUGGGAAAGAAAAGCAGCAGGUUAAUACCCCGCUGUUCUGACGGUACCCAAAGAAUAAGCACCGGCUAACUUCGUG
Molecule: ribosomal RNA, 492 nt
Filed under: uncultured bacterium
Lineage: Bacteria
Description: partial 16S ribosomal RNA
Rfam family: Bacterial small subunit ribosomal RNA
Source: RNAcentral